GGUGGUUAUGGGGUUAGGACUGGUGGUUAUGGGGUUAGGACUGGUGGUUAUGGGGUUAGGACUCAUGGGGUUGGGACUGGUUGUUAUGGGGUUAGGACUGGUUGUUAUGGGGUUAGGACUGGUUGUUAUGGGGUUAGGACUGGUUGUUAUGGGGUUAGGACUGGUGGUUAUGGGGUUAGGACUGGUUGUUAUGAGGUUAGGACUCAUGGGGUUGGGACUGGUUGUUAUGGGGUUGGGACUGGUUGUUAUGGGGUUAGGACUGGUUGUUAUGGGGUUAGGACUGGUGGUUAUGGGGUUGGGACUGGUUGUUAUGAGGUUAGGACUCAUGGGGUUGGGACUGGUUGUUACGGGGUUGGGACUGGUUGUUAUGGGGUUAGGACUGGUUGUUAUGGGGUUAGGACUGGUGGUUAUGGGGUUAGGACUGGUGGUUAUGGGGUUAGGACUGGUUGUUAUGGGGUUAGGACUGGUUCUUAUGGGGUUAGGACUGGUUCUUAUGGGGUUAGGACUGGUUGUUACAG
RNAcentral lists this long non-coding RNA (518 nucleotides) under Salmo salar (Atlantic salmon). RNAcentral's name for it is "lncRNA (ENSSSAG00000109711.1)". The record is from RNAcentral. Lineage: Eukaryota; Metazoa; Chordata; Actinopteri; Salmoniformes; Salmonidae.